Triticum aestivum (bread wheat) is the source of this 1984-nucleotide long non-coding RNA. RefSeq lists it as uncharacterized. The record is from RefSeq and is a predicted model, not a curated record. The transcript has 2 exons. NCBI's taxonomy places the organism in Eukaryota, Viridiplantae, Streptophyta, Magnoliopsida, Poales, Poaceae.
CCAGCGCGGGUCUCCUCGCGUAGUGGGCUCAAAGUAGGUGGCCUACGCACCGCUUUGGUUGCCUUUAUCUCAUCCACGGGACGCCCUCCUCCACUCAUUUUUCCAACCCAAACACAAUCUAUCUUCCUCUUUCUCUGUGCUUCCUCCAAAUAACACAAAUCCAUGGCAAAAUAAAUCAUGCACAGCUUGCAGCUCCGGCGAGACUAGCAUCUGCUGGUCGCGGACACGCGCAGCUCGCGCUUUGCCCCAGUAGCACGCCGCGUGCAGCUCUGGCGAGGGCAGCAUCUACUCGCCGUGGCCUUCCCCAGCAGAUGGCUUGCUGCAGACGAAGAUCUGCGCGCCCCGCUCCGCUCGCAGGAGAGGGCAACCACCAACAGAAGAUGAUGCAACCUCGGCUCGGCAGAGCUACAAGCAUAGGCUCGCGGAGCUGCAACCAGCCACACAAAUGCUGAAACCGGCGACGGCCGUGCUGCGACGGCUUCGGCGGCGAUCCAGCUUUGCUGGAACAAGCUACUUUUUUUUGCUGGAACCAUCAUCAAUUUUUGCUACCACCCACCCGCCCAAAUUUUUGCUACUAGGUGAUUUUUGCUGCAACCGAUGAACCAUUUUGCUACAACCGUUUCGAUUUUUUGUUACUAUCGGUGUUUGUGGAUUUUUGCUACAUCCAUCUUCUGUUUUUCCUAUCUUUUUUGUUACAACCAUAUUUUGAUUUUGCUGGAACUGAAGACAAUUUUUGCUACAUCCACCCACGGCGGUGUUGCUCAACGGCGGCAAUGGUUGUUAUUUUGCUACAACUGUCUUGAAUUUUUGCUACUACCGGAGAUGCCAUUUGCUACCACCGGAGUUUUUGCUAUGGUAAAUGUUUACAGCCGGACGGCCGGCUAAGUUUUGGGCCGGUCGCGCGUGACGCGCGUCCCAUGUGGACCCACAUCCAAACUGCCACGCACUUCUCUUGCUUCCGUUCUUAUCCUUUCGCUUUUAUCUCUUCCUCCAUCGUUCUUUUCUUUUUCUCUCUCCCAUCGUUCCCCAUCUCUCUCAAGCCAUCGAUGGAGCACCUCUCUUUUCGAUCCGCCGGCUUGGUUCUCCGGCGUGCUCCCUUCCCACUAUAACCCUCUUAUCCAAUGCGAGCUCCUCCAUUCUCUUCCCUCCCUCCCUCCUACUUCAUCAGCCCUCAUUUUUCUAUUGCGUGCUGCAAGGGCCGGAAGCGCAGAUGCUGCGCCCAGGCGACCAUCCCUGCAAACGGCGAGCCAGGGGACACCGAUGAUGCAACCGGUUUCGCGGGCUGCUACAACCGGCAUCGUGUGGUGCUACUACCAGCACCGCGGGGAGCUGGAACUGGUUACACCAAAGCUGCGACGACACGUCGCUGUUUGCUGGAACCGGCACUCCGAGGAGCUGCAACCAGCUUACAUAUAGCUGCAACCAGCAAUCUGCGGUGCUACAACCAACAGAGGGCGGCGGGCAAGAGAGGUCCACAACGACGGCGAGCCAGGGGCAGCGGUGUCGUGCUAUAUUGGGUGGUGUGAGUUGCUGGAACCGGCGUAUGGCAGAGCUGCAUCCGGCAAGGGCGGUUGAAACGACAGCGAGAUGAGGAAGGCGUGUGAUGGCGAAUUCGGGCUGCGGAGAGAGCGGCAAGCAGUGGUGAUCCAGCGGGCAGCGGUGAUCCGGCAAGCGGCGAAGAUUCGACAGGUCAUGGGGCCCGUCCAUGGCGCUCGCGCCUCUGUAGGUGCUCCCGUGAUUUUCAAGGGAAAAUAAAAGGAAACAUUGAUCGGGACGAAAGGGUCAUGUAUCUGACGGUUAAAAGGGGUGUCUCGGACGUCCCGGAUGCGACCGGCCCAAAUUUGGGCCGGCGCACCGGCGCCUAUGAGUGCCCUUUUGCUAUUACCAGUCUUCCUGUAAGCAUUAGGAGUUUUUGCUACCACCCUUUGUUUUUGUUGGAACCAUUCUAAAAAUUUGUUACCAACGUCUUUUGAUUUUUCUGGAA